CCAGACCAAUUCUCCGAUCUUAUACCUUCCUCGCCAGCAACAAACAUCCAUUUUCCCAUCUUUAGUCCAUUAUCUUAUUUAUCUCUUACUUCCUUCCUUUUCCUUAUUUAUUUANNNNNNNNNNNNNNNNNNNUUAUUUAUUCUCUUACUUUCCUUCCUUUUUCUAUUUAGUUAUUUCCUUAAUUAUUUUACUAUUUUAAUACCAAAUGUCAUAGCAUAGUUUCUUCACAAAUCACUCGAAAUCAGAAAUUGUAUCUCUUCCUGUAAAGAACGAAUUUUGGUGGAAGAUUUGGGUACGAAUUUCAUUGAAAAAUCUGUCCAAGUUCAUAGGAGUCCCCAAAUAGGUAAAGAUUUUGAAUUUAUCGCGGGUUCCGCUUUCUUUGAUUUGAUAUAAUAAUUUUCAGAGAAACUCAAUCCCGUAAGUUUCUUUCCUUCUUGACAUGAUUUAUUAUUGCUCUAAUUAUAUUAUAGUUGGAUUUGAUAAAUAUUCAUAUACUUUUUAUAUAUAGAAAGAAUCACUUUUUUUUCCAAAGUUGUGGCCUCCGAUUUCUGCUAAUUAAUUCUGUUAAGUAUUAAUUGUUAGCCUUAAUUUCUGUACUUUUUACUAAGAGCAUUAAUAAUUUUUAGCUAUAAAUACUACUACUGUUAAGGCAAAGAAAAAGAAAAAAGAAAGAGGAGGAGGACUUUUGAUCAUUGCUCUUCAUCACUUCCAUAACUUUUCUUUUACUGUGAUAUACUUUGCAUUCACUGCUCUUCGGCUACUUCUUUGCUUAUUGCAAGCCAAAGCAACAUUUCUUUUCUUUUAUUUCACUCUACACAAAUGUUUGCUUGAAAUUCUUAGAAGUUUUGGUGAUCUUGGAGCGUCGAGAUUUGAGUAUUGGUUUCUUGUCGCUAUCAUUCGAGUUUUCUCAUUACAAUCACUGCGUAUUUCUGGAGUUUGUUUGGCAUAUUUACUGCUAUUGAAGCUCUGUCCAUGAAUCAUUCUUUGGAAUUCUGGUUUUUUUACGAAUUUGGUACUCAAAAAACGGGUUAGUUUCCUUAACGAUGCAUUAUGAUUCCUUUACGUGUUGGUUGUUGUUAUAAUAAACUAGUCCUUCUCUUUUGUUUUGUAUUUUGUACACUCUUGGCCAUGCCGAGAUAUCGAGUGCCAUGCGGUACUCUAUUGAAAUUAUGCCAAUAUAAUAACCAGGUACGUCUCUUAAAUUCAGGUGUGUUUUUGAUCUUUUGACUUUACGUGUGUGUUUUUGAUUAUGAGACGACCUAACCAUAAAUGUCUUUUGGAUUUGUUCUGGCACUCUAGUAACUAGGAAAUUAUUUAUUUUAUUUAGGACUAAAGAUUGUAUAAAUAAGAGUAGCAUCAACUUAUCUGCUAUGUUCAACGAUUUAGUUUAGGAAUUCUGCCUAAAAGAUUUCGAAUGAUAUUUGUAAGUUCCAUGAUCUUCAUUCUUUGAAUAUAGCUGAAUCUGCAUAGGUAUUAUAGCGACCCAAAUUCUACUAAGGGUCGUGAUGGCGUCGGACACCACUGUCAGGCAAGCCAACCAAAAUACUUAAUUAAAUUCUCGUUUUAAUAAUUUUGAAAACUAUAAUUUUCCUUCAUUUUUACUGGUAAAAGAUAAUCGUUUCAAAUCAAAUAUGAUUAUUAAGCAGUUACUACAAGAUACCCCAUAAUCAUCCCAGAACCUGGUGUCACAAGUGCAUGAACAUUUAUUAGGGAAUGAAAUAAAAUGCGGUAACUGUCUCGAAUACAAAGUGGACAGAAAUGAAAAAAAAUACAGUACAAUACUGUGAAGGGGACUCUACGGGCUGCGGGUCGUCUCGAUAAAUGCAGCUCACCAAAGUCUCCAUAUCAACCAUGCUGCUAUGCCACUAAGCCACUAGCCACAUAUAACCUCGUGCAAUAAAAAUGCACAGCAAGUGUAGUAUGAGUACGAAAACAACGUAUACUCAAUGAGUAUCCCGUCUAAUCUCGAAGAAGUAGAGACGAGUGGUCGACUUCGACACUUGCUAAUGGUCCAAUAGUAAUAUUAUUAAUGCGAUGAAUCACAGAUUUAAUAAGAACAUCAGUAAAUUCAAAUAAGUCACGAAACAGGAAAAAGUUCCUUUUAUUUAAAAGUCUCCGAAUUCAUAACUCAUUCAUUAACAAUUAUCUCAAGUCGGGGAGAGCAAUAUCAAUAUCAAUAAAUCUCCAGGCAAGCAAUACAAGCAUGUGCAAAUCAUGCCGAGGUCGUACGGCCUAAUCCAACAUAAAUGUAAAAUGUGCACUGCCGAGGGUUGAACGGCGCGAACCAUAGAUGCAUCUAUUACCCCGCUCGCGAAUCAUACAUGUGACACCGUCAAAUUUAAAUAAACAAUCAUCCUACUCGCGAAUCAUACAUGCGAUGCAGGUACAUAUAAAAAUACAUGCUCAAACAACCAGUUAAGAAUUUAUCGGGGAGCAUUUAUCCAAAUGAAAGCCAAUUAUCUUUUAACUAUUUAAGAAAAUGAAGUUUAAUCCUUUUAGAAAUUUAUUUACCAAUUCGAUAGGAUUUAAGCAAUUCAACUGUCAAUAAGAUUACAGGUAUUCCAAGUAUAGCAUGCUUUUGGGUCCUAGACUACCCAAAAUUACACAUAUUAGUAGCUACGCACGGACUCUCGUCACUUCGUGCGUAUGUAGCCCCAACAAAUAGGAGCACAUAACCAAUUAUUUCACUUAUGGGGACAAUUCCCUCUUGCAUUGUUAGAAAGGAGACUCACCUCGCUCCAAAGAUCCAUAACCGGUAUUCCACGCUCUUCCGAAGACUCGAAUCGAUGCACAACGCUCCAAAACUAGCCAAUAAUUAUGCAAUUCCAUUAAUAUAUGUUCAAUUACUCAUUACAAUCCAAUUUAUAACAAUUCCUAACCCCGAUCAAAAAGUUGACAAAAUUGCCCUCGGCCCACGUGCCUGGAUUCCGAAAUUUUUCAAAGAUAAUGUUUACCCAUGAACUCACGAACUCAAAUAUAUGAUUUUCUCCUAAUUUUGUACCAAAAAUCGUGAUCACAAUCCAAGAAUACGAAUUUUCUAAGUUUUCCUCAAGCCCCCAAAUUUCUACCAAUUUACAUGCAAAUAUUCAUACAUAAUCAAUGUAUUUAACUCAAGAUAGGUGGGGUAAGCUUACCUUGUUGAUGAUAAUGAAAAACCCCACUUGAAGCUCUCUAAAUCGCCCCUACCAACUAAAAAUGGGAGAAAGAUGACUAUCUCCUGAUUUUUAAAAAACAUACUGCCUCCAGCAUUUUCUCACCUGCGGAAAUUUCUACUGCAGGUGUGGUCUCAGCCAACUCGCUAAAGUCCUCUUCUGUGGUCUCGGUUCUGCGGAAGGUUCAUCGCACCUGCGGUCCCAACCAAACCCAGCCAUUUUCUGCUUCUGCGACACAAGGGCUGCUUCUGCGGCUCCGCACCUGCGGCCCAAGUCUCGCAGUUGCGGUUACACCAGCAACUUCAGCUCUUCCUCCAAGUUCCAAUUCGAUCUGUUAACCACCUGGAAUCCACCCGAGGCCCCCGGGACCCCGACCAAUUAUACCAACCAGUCCCAAAACACAUUACGGACUUACUUGAGGCCUCAAAUCAUAUCAAACAAUGCUAAAAUCAUGAAUUGACCUCCAAUCCAAGCUUAAUGAACUUUAGAAAUUCAAACAUCUACAUUCGAUGACGAAACCUAUCAAAUCACAUCCGAUUGACCUCAAAUUUUGCACACAAGUCAUAUUUGACAUUACGGACCUACUCCAACUUCUAGAAUCGGAAUCCGACCCCGAUAUCAAAAAGUCCACUUCCGGUCAAACUUCUCAAAAACAUCAAAUUUCUAUCUUUAGCCAAAUAACUCCAAAAUGACUUACGGACCUCCGAAUUUACUUCCGAUCGCGCUCCCAAUACCGGAAUCACCAUACAGAGCUAUUCCUAGACUCGGAAUCCCAAACGGGCAUUGAUAACACUGAAAUGCACUUCAACCCAAACUUAUGAGAUUCUUCCAAAAUGCUAACUUCCACAAUAGGCGCUGAAACGCUCCCGGGUCUUCCAAAACCCGAUCGGACAUACUCCCAAGUCCGAAAUCAUCAGAAGCUAAGAGUUAUAUUUGUUUGCUUUGUUGGCUAUAAUAUUACUGCCAUGAUGUUCUCAAACAUCGAUACCAUGUNNNNNNNNNNNNNNNNNNNNNNNNNNNNNNNNNNNNNNNNNNNNNNNNNNNNNNNNNNNNNNNNNNNNNNNNNNNNNNNNNNNNNNNNNNNNNNNNNNNNNNNNNNNNNNNNNNNNNNNNNNNNNNNNNNNNNNNNNNNNNNNNNNNNNNNNNNNNNNNNNNNNNNNNNNNNNNNNNNNNNNNNNNNNNNNNNNNNNNNNNNNNNNNNNNNNNNNNNNNNNNNNNNNNNNNNNNNNNNNNNNNNNNNNNNNNNNNNNNNNNNNNNNNNNNNNNNNNNNNNNNNNNNNNNNNNNNNNNNNNNNNNNNNNNNNNNNNNNNNNNNNNNNNNNNNNNNNNNNNNNNNNNNNNNNNNNNNNNNNNNNNNNNNNNNNNNNNNNNNNNNNNNNNNNNNNGAGGUAGUUUACUCAAAAAUUCAAUCUUAGUCCAUCCUUUCGACUUAAAGCUUCAGAAAUGAGAAUUCUCUUUCCAAAUAAACUCUGAACUUUCCGGAAUUCAAUUCCGACUGUGCGCACAAGUUAUAAUACCUGAUGUGAAGCUGUUAAUGGCGUCAAACUGCUGAACGAAGCACUAGAGCUCAAAACGACUGGUCGGGUUGUUACAUUCUCUCCCACUUAAACAUACGUUCGUCCUCGAACGUGCUAAGAACUGCAUUGGAGUUGCCCGAAAUCACUGUUUAACACCUCGAGCACCUACCCGUGCUACCACAACUCAGCUAGGCACCAUAGCUCGAUCAAUCUGAAGAUACCCUUUUCCACUUAGGCAAAUAGGCCAUAGAGCCCAAUUCCAACCUCCGAAAUUCUCUACCAAGACUGUUCCAACGUACGCUCACUGAAUCAAUAACUACACACAACACCAAAACAUGACUACAUACCUUAGCUGAAUUCACACCUUGCACCCCUUUACUCACAGGACCACAAUAACAUUCUCUGAUCAAUUUAGUCGAAAUUCCAUGAAUCUGAUGCUCCCAUUGCACCUCAUGACAUACAUAGGUCUUGCUCUAACUCUUACAAUACCGCCACGAUGGAAGGGAUGUGUAGAAAUUCAUAACCAACUGCCGAACCAACAAAUCAUUAGGUCUAUACUCCUGACAAGAACCAUCACCUCAUUCUGAAUCAAAUAAUGGUCUUAGCUCCUUAAUAUACUUCAUAUAAUCAGAUUGCACUGAUCCUAAAUUCAAUGAUCUCGUCUCACCUAGUACGAACUGCUUAGGCAAUAAGCCAACCCGAACAUGAUCAAAAAUCUCAUAUGAUGCCACAAUAUGCCAAUAGGCUACCAAUUCGAACAUGAUACAUAAAGGAAACAAACUCUGAAAAAGAAAUCCAAUUACCCCACUUGCGAAUCAUACAUGCGACGCGGUCAACAUAAUUGAACAGACACCCCACUCGCGAAUCAUACAUACGACGUGGGCACACAACUAAUAUGAGUGUUCCUCAGAAAAAUAGGAAACAAAAUGCAUAAAAAUAGAUAUAGGGAACUGUACUCAACAUCACAUUGUUGUGGCGCGCAACCUGAUCCAGACAACAUACCCAUGGCGGCGUACCACCCGAUCCACCCAGAAAAUUCACAUAAGGAGAUACACACCGAGCUAAAUUGCUCAUUACAACAAAAUAUCGAAUAUCGGACACAAGCACGCUAAGUGCAUAAUACCAUCCCUGGGGAGACAUAUAGUGCCAUAGGCUACAAAACUCAAGCACAAUUGAGGUGCGAUAUAUGUUCUGAAGCUAAAGAGCCAUCCUGCUCACAUAUCACCAUCGCUACGCGGAACCUCAAUACAUAAGAAAAUUAUCGAGUCGUUCACAACUCACACAGCACAAUAUAGCAUUGCAUGAAAUAGCUGACGAUGAAAUAACACCCCAUGUCUGAAAAUUCCUCCAUAAGAAGCGCUAUGCUGAAAUGAACACAGGCCCAUAUUCACAUUUAAAUCCAUCCACAUACCUCAAGCUGAUUCUAAUCACAUUGAACUAGGCUAAUAACCUUUCGAAGGUCCAUAAUAACUACCUUUUCCUCAAAACACACGAGAACUACCAUCAUAACCGGGACAAUCCUCCACAGUCCACAACCCAAUAAGUCGAGUGCCCUCCGGGCAUAAAUUCUCAAAUUAGUGAUAUUACCACGAUCUUCAUACUUGGUUUAAAUCUUUAAUCAAUCAAGUGACUACAUGUCACACUUAUACAAUCUUCCCGUGAGAUAUGCUCCCACGACCUUCCGCACUAGAUAACGAGUCUGCACAUCUAUACCACCGGUCACACUAAUGUUAUAGAGCAUAUCAAAAAACUGUAACCAAGAUGCAAAGCCUUCAACACAAAAUGCCGAUCUUAGGUGACGCCGAAGGCAAUAACAGCUUACUNNNNNNNNNNNNNNNNNNNNNNNNNAUACUGCUCAUUGCACCUAACAAGCCAACAUGCGAUAGUACAAGAAUUUCAUCAUAAUUUCUGAACCACUAUUAGGGUAAACACUUCAUCACAUAGAACCUUUUUACUUAACUCAUUCCAAGAGAACCAUAGCUACACGCGAGUGAAUUCUCAUAACUGUAGAACAUUCAAAUCCUCAGAUAGUGGCCCAAACUACCAUGAUCCUUCCGGGAUCCGCCUACACUUAACGAGGCCAUAAUACUUGAAUAUUUCUGAAUAACAUCAAUUACGGCGGCCGACAAGCCUCACACUUAUCGUCACAAAUCACUUGCAUAACUUGAUCACGCUGAAGGAACUGAUCACUACCACCAAUAUGCCAAUUCAACUAUGUCUAGCCAAUCUAUCUUCGCCCAAUUUAUCCUUGAUUGCCUUUGAAAUAAUAAUAACACCAUUCAAUACAUAGUUCACUCCAUCCGUACUCAUCCCGAGUGACCUUGAAUCACGAGACCAUGUUGUCUCAAAUUCCACGAACUAUUUCAUACCUCCCUUGUGCACACAUUCGCAUCCUUAAUCGGUACGCCCAUUCUGAUAAUCCCUCUAUGUAUCCGAAGUCCUUUCUCAUUUUCCUCCCAAAUGCAGCCUGCAAGUCAAAACAUCAUAGAACAUUCUGGACCUCUUCUCAUAAGCUGCUACAAAGCUUGAUCCUUAACCGUAUCUAUAAGCUCGAAAUCAUUAUGUACCACACUUUAUCCCUUUGAAUCCACUAGGACAGUUGUUGAGAGCCACCCACUCUGACUUGGCCCCGAAUAUAAUCUACUCCAUAAAUCUUCUAGCACAUGAAUACCCUCUCGACGAAGCACCCAGCAGAAUCACUUUCCUUGAAACCUGUAUCUAUACAAGGCAUAAAUCCUAAAUCCUUCUCCAAGUCUGAACAUGAGCCAAUAAGACCAACCAUAACACACCUUUAACAAUGCCUUUGCUCAAAUUACCACUUAUGUCCUUUUCCCGUAGCUGAAAUAACCCAUCAAUAUGCUAAUAACCAGAAACCUCGCAAGUAGUUAACUAUACAACCCAAUCAUAGGCGGUGGGACUCUCCCACUUAGCUUGGAGCCACUAUUACACACCUCUGGAAUUCACCAAGAUUCUUUAUCUCUUAUUGACAUGACCUCGCGCAAUUAAACCGCUAGAUUCCUUGAAAUCCUUCCAUUAGCACUUCAUGAACACCUUGAAUUUCCAUCAACAUUCACAUAUUCGACCUCUUACUGGAAUGGCCAGUAAAAUCCUCCGCAGAAGCUUCGCCAACCACGCGACCCCUAACCUGCUCACAGGGAAUAACCCACCUGUGGAAAUUACUUUCCGACAUCUUCCAAUGCUGCUGCACGGGGUACAAUCACUACGACAUCAAUAACCCAUCCUGAGCCCGAGCUCACUCUUUAACUGCACAAGUCCAUUCACCCCUCGUGGACAUCAAUUAGAUGUGCGACAACAUCCUUUAAAUUCAAAGUUAUGUUGUAUCCUUCUUCAUUUCAAGCAGCUCCUUUCCGUUAUAUCAAAUCUCCUGCCGCAUAAUAGUCUAUGCUCCAAAUUAAAUCCGUAGGCCCCAAUCACCAAUCUCUAAAACUCCCAAAUCAUUCCAAAUUCUCCUCAAGAUGCAUGGUCAUCCUACCACCAAGCCCAUAUGCAACUCCGCCACUCUCCCACUUUGGCGAAACUCACCCUUUAAUCGACUACUGGACCUUAGCUUCUUAUACUUGGCCUUCUAGAAAUUUUAACCACCACUUAACACUCCCUACAUGUCCUUCCUCAUCCUUUACCGCUCAGUUGUUGCCUUAAAUAAAAAUCUAUCUUCGUAACACUUGAACCAACAAAUCGCUACUAACUUUAAACCUCUCCGAAGAUUAUUUUUCUCGAGUCGUCAGCAUUAGAAACACCGAUUCAAUCUAGAACCACCGCACCCCGAGAUAUCUAACAAUCAUUUCUCCAAUAUUAUUUCACAAUAUCUUACCCCAAAGGCAAAUUGCAGAAGACCAUAACAGCAACGAACUUAACACAUUCAAUCGCGGACGACGACACCACAUUGCAGAUGAGAAUCCCAUCACGCUUGAAAUCACCAAGUCUUGUUACUCCAUCGCUUUAAAUCUGGACGUCCCUAGGCUAAUUGCUUUUCCUCUACCGGAAAUAAAAUAUCAGAUAUCUGAAUUGUGCACUGAGUAGGCUUCCUUUGAAAUCAUUCACUGCACCAACACAUAGGCAAGUAUCCUGCUAUCAAGUCAUUACUGUGCGAUAACCUAUCGUGAGCAUCAUAGCAACCUGUGCAUAGCCUCUAAGCUCUUAGAAGCACAACUACCGAGUCGAAACGAUAGAAAAAUCCUCCCACAAGGCGACGACAAUAGCCCAAUCAACUAUACUAGGAGAAACAUCUUGAACCACGUCCGCAGUACCAUUACAAUUCCUCAAUUCUCGAUUUAUAACAAGCGAUUCGCGUCGCGUAAGGUUGAGUAGGAAGGAAACAAGGGCAUAAGCCCCAAGGAGUCAAAUAGCAUGAUGAGGAAUCAAGAAGGGAAGUGCUCCUAAUAGCCCUGUAGCCUCCCGAAGAUAAGUACAGGCGUUUUCAUACCGAUCCGCGAGACUCUACUAGACUUGCUCAUGACUCGUGAGACCUAACGGAACCUACUGCUCUGAUACCAUAUAGUCACAACCCAAAUUCUACUAAGGGUCGUGAUGGCGCCGGACACCACUGUCAGGCAAGCCAACCAAAAUACUUAAUUAAACUCUCGUUUUAAUAAUUUUGAGAACUAUAAUUUUCCAUCAAUUUUACCAGUAAAAGAUAAUCGUUUCAAAUCAAAUAUGAAUAUUAAGCAGUUACUACAAGAUACCCCAUAAUCAUCCCAGAACCCAGUGUCACAAGUGCAUGAGCAUUUAUAGGGAAUGAAAUAAAAUACGAUAACUAUCCUGAAUACAAAGUGGACAUAAAUGAAAAAAACACAGUACAAUACUCUGAAGGGGACUGUGCUGGUUGUGGGUCGUCUCGAUAAAUGCAGCUCUCUUAAGUUUCAAUAUCAACCAUGUCGCUAUACCACUAAGCCUCUAGCCACAUAUGAACCUGUGCAACAAAAAUGCACAACAGGUGUAGUAUGAGUACGAAAACAACGUAUACUCAAUGAGUAUCCCGUCUAAUCUCGAAGAAGUAGAGACGAGAGGUCGACUUCGACACUUGCUAGUGGUGCAAUAGUAAUAUUAUUAAUGCGAUGAAUCACGAAUUUAUUAAGAACAACAGUAAAUUCAAAUAAGUCACAAAACAGGAAAAAGUUCCUUUUUAUUUAAAAGUCUCCGAAUUCAUAACCCAUUCAUUAACAAUUAUCUCAAGUCGGGGAGAGCAAAUAUCUAUAUCAAUAAAUGCAUUAUUGAUGGUCGAACGGCGCGAACCAUAGAUGCAUCUAUUGCCCCGCUCACGAAUCAUACAUGCGAUGCAGGUACACAUAGAAAUACAUGCUCAAACAGCCAAUUAAGAAUUUAUCGAGAAACAUUUAUCCAAAUAAAAUCCAAUUAACUUUUAACGAUUUAAAAAAAUAAAGUUUAAUACUUUUAGAAAUUCAUUUACCAAUUCGAUAGGAUUUAAGCAAAAAAACUGUCAAUAAGAUUACAAAUAUUCCAAGUAUAACAUGCUUUUGGGUCCUAGACUACCCGGACUUACACAUAUUAGUAGCUACGCGCGAACUCUCGUCACCUCGUGCAUAUGUAGCCCCCACAAAUAGGAGCACAUAACCAAUUAUUUCACCUAUGGGGACAAUUCCCUCUUACAAGAUUAGAAAGGAGACUUACCUCGCUCCGAAGAUUCAUAACCGGCAUUCCACGCUCUUCCGAAGACUCGAAUCGAUGCACAAUGCUCCAAAACUAGCCAAUAAUUAUGCAAAUCCAUUAAUAUAUGUUCAAUUACUCAUUACAAUCCAAUUUAUAACAAUUCCUAACCCCGAGCGAAAAGUUGACAAAAUUGCCCUCGGGCCCACGUGCCCGGAUUCCAAAAUUUUUCGAAGAUAAAGUUUACCCAUGAACUCACGAACUCAAAUAUAUGAUUUUCUCCUAAUUUCAUACCCAAAAAUCGUGGUCAAAAUCCAAGAAUAUGAAUUUUCUAGGGUUUCCUCAAACCCCCAAAUUUCUACCAAUUUACAUGCAAAAAUUCAUACAUAAUCAUUAUAUUUAACUCAAGAUAGGCAGGGUUAGCUUACCUUGUUGAUGAUAAUGAAAAACCCCACUUGAAGCUCUCUAAAUCGCCCACACCAAUUGAAAAUGGGAGAAAAAUGACCAUCUCCUGAUUUUUAAAAGACCACACUACCUCCAGCAUUUUCGCACCUGCGGCUCCGCACCUAUGGAAAUUUCUACCGCAUGUUGAGUCUCAGCCAACUCGCUCAAGUCCACUUCUGCGGUCUCGCUUCUGCGGAAGGUUCGUCGCACCUGCGACCCCAUCCAAGCCCAGCCAUUUUCCGCUUCUACGACACAAGGGCUGCUUCUGCGGCUCCGCACCUGCGGCCCAAGUCUUGCAGGUGCGGUUACACCAGCAACCAACAACUUCAGCUCUUCCCCCAAGUUCCAAUUCAAUCCGUUAACCACCCGGAAUCUACCCGAGGCCUCCGGAACUCCGACCAAUCAUACCAACCAGUCCCAAAACACAUUACGAACUUGUUCGAGGCCUUAAAUCAUAUCAAACAACACUAAAAUCAUGAAUCGACCUCCAAUCCAAGCUUAAUGAACUUUAGAAAUUCAAACUUCUCCAUUCGAUGACAAAACCUAUCAAAUCACGUUCAAUUGACCUCAAAUUUUGCACACAAGUUAUAUUUGACAUUAUGGACCUACCCCAACUUCCAGAAUUGAAAUCCAACCUCGAUAUCAAAAAGUCCACUUUCAGUCAAACUUCUCAAAAACCAUCAAAUUUCUAUCUUUAGCCAAAUGACUCCAAAAUGACCUACGGACCUCCGAGUUCACUUCCGAUCGCACUCCCAAUACCAGAAUCACCAUACGGAGCUAUUCCCAAACUCGAAAUCCCAAACAGGAAUUAAUAACACUGAAAUGCACUUCAACCCAAACUUAUGAGAUUCUUCCAAAAUGCUAACUUCCACAAUAGGCGCUGAAACGCUCUCGGGACUUCCAAAACCCGAUCGGACAUACUCCCAAGUCCGAAAUCAUCAGAAGCUAAGAGUUAUAUUUGUUUGCUUUGUUGGCUAUAAUAUUACUGCCAUGAUGUUCUCAAACAUCGAUACCAUGUCCUUAGGAUUUUAAUUCAUCUAGAUAUUCAGUCUAUGGAUAAAGCAUCCAGAUAACUUGCUAUCCCAUAAUGCUUGUACUUUAUUUUGUUUGAGUAAUUAUUUAUUUGAUUUGAACACUAGAGGUGCUCUAUUUAGAAACUAAUAGUAAGAUAAGUCAACAACUUCGUUGGUGUUAAAGGCUAGCGAGUUGUAUUUCUCAGCAUAUUCUUUAUCUUUACAUGACUAAAUUGCAAAUUGUUUGAAUUAAAUACUUGAAGUUAUAUUAUUUGGAAGUAACGAGUUAAAUCUAUUUUCGCGACAAUUCGAUCUCCAUGUGCGCUGCAUAUGUGUUCUGGUUGGGCUAUGAUGUUACAGAAUGGCGUAAUUCGAGCAUUGAGCGAGGAUUUGGAGUCGCCUGGGAAGGGGAAGAUUUAAGAAUUAUUGUGUUGGAAUUUACUUUGCGCCUGAAGCUCAUUAGUUUAGCUUGUGUUGUAAUGUUGGCCUUAUAAUGCUACAAAUAAUCUGUAAUUGUCUAAAAGAGUGGAUAUUGCUAAUUGUUGUCAUGACUAGUUUUCCUUUUAAUAGUGGAUAUUGCUAAUUGUUUUAAACUUGUC
This 12351-nucleotide long non-coding RNA is filed under the name Nicotiana tabacum (common tobacco). Its description in RNAcentral is "long non-coding RNA (NTAB_LNC011954)". Lineage: Eukaryota; Viridiplantae; Streptophyta; Magnoliopsida; Solanales; Solanaceae. The record is from RNAcentral.